This 252-nucleotide ribosomal RNA is filed under the name uncultured bacterium. Its description in RNAcentral is "partial 16S ribosomal RNA". It matches the Rfam family "Bacterial small subunit ribosomal RNA", at positions 524 to 776 of the family's 1533-position model. The record is from RNAcentral.
UACGUAGGUGGCAAGCGUUGUCCGGAUUUAUUGGGCGUAAAGGGCGCGCAGGUGGUGUGCUAAGUCUGCCGUGAAAUCUCCGGCUCAACUGGGAGGGUGCGGUGGAGACUGGUACGCUUGAGGUACCUAGAGGUCGGUGGAAUUCCGGGUGUAGUGGUGAAAUGCGUAGAGAUCCGGAGGAACCCAGAGGCGAAGGCGGCGCCCUGGCUCGCAACUGACGCUCAGACACGACAGCAUGGGACGCGGAACGGG